UGCUACGGCCAUGCCACCCUGAACAGGCCCAAUCUCGUCUGAUCUCAGAAGCUAAGCAGGGUCGGGCCUGGUUAGUACUUGGAUGGGAGACCACCUAGGAAGACCAGGUGCUGUAGGCG
This 119-nucleotide ribosomal RNA is filed under the name Pteropus alecto (black flying fox). RNAcentral also lists the same sequence under 1 other name. The record is from RNAcentral. Lineage: Eukaryota; Metazoa; Chordata; Mammalia; Chiroptera; Pteropodidae.